UACGAAGGGUGCAAGCGUUGCUCGGAAUUAUUGGGCGUAAAGGGUAGGUAGGUGGUGACAUUUGUCUGGGGUGAAAUCCCUGAGCUUAACUCAGGAAGUGCCUUGGAAACGGUGUCACUAGAGUGCUGGAGAGGUUCGCAGAAUUCUUGGUGUAGCGGUGAAAUGCGUAGAGAUCAAGAGGAAUACCAGAGGCGAAGGCGGCGAACUGGACAGUUACUGACACUGAACUACGAAAGCGUGGGGAGCAAACAGG
This 253-nucleotide ribosomal RNA is filed under the name uncultured bacterium. RNAcentral's name for it is "partial 16S ribosomal RNA". It matches the Rfam family "Bacterial small subunit ribosomal RNA", at positions 524 to 776 of the family's 1533-position model. The record is from RNAcentral.